GGCACGGUGGCUUAGUGGUUAGCCCAUUUACCUCGUGCCUCCAGGGUUGGGGGUUCAAUUCCCACCUCUGCCC
Molecule: non-coding RNA, 73 nt
Organism: Pangasianodon gigas (Mekong giant catfish)
Lineage: Eukaryota; Metazoa; Chordata; Actinopteri; Siluriformes; Pangasiidae
Source: the annotation of a GenBank genome assembly